Long non-coding RNA from Dioscorea cayenensis subsp. rotundata (Guinea yam), 385 nucleotides. RefSeq lists it as uncharacterized. Lineage: Eukaryota; Viridiplantae; Streptophyta; Magnoliopsida; Dioscoreales; Dioscoreaceae. The transcript is spliced from 3 exons. The record is from RefSeq and is a predicted model, not a curated record.
GGUUUAACGCAAAGUUCCAUCGCCGUUCUUUGGGGGCAUUUCAUCAUUCACUUCCCACCAUUAAUGGAUCUCUUCAUCGCUGUUCCCCUCCUUCCCACCACUCCACUUCUUUCCCCUCGGUUCUAGGCGCCCACUGAGGGACGGAUUGAUCCAUCCUUUCUCGCAUUGUUUCCGUUCCUCCACCUUUUGUGGCUUCGAUUUAGCUUCAAUGGCGUCUUCGGGCAAUUUCUUGCUUGUUUUCGCUCUGGCGACGUUGAUUUUUGUGGUGGCUGCUUGGGAUGUUGGGACCCGGAUUACGCUUGACCAGCAUGGCAUUCGAAACUCCUCAAUCAAAGCAUUGAUUGCCACAGCUUCUGCAAGCGGGUAUGACAAAGGUGCAUCGACU